Molecule: ribosomal RNA, 420 nt
Filed under: uncultured Chroococcidiopsis sp.
Lineage: Bacteria; Bacillati; Cyanobacteriota; Cyanophyceae; Chroococcidiopsidales; Chroococcidiopsidaceae
Description: bacterial SSU rRNA
Rfam family: Bacterial small subunit ribosomal RNA
Source: RNAcentral
GGGGAAUUUUCCGCAAUGGGCGAAAGCCUGACGGAGCAAUACCGCGUGAGGGAGGAAGGCUCUUGGGUUGUAAACCUCUUUUCUCAGGGAAGAACAAAAUGACGGUACCUGAGGAAUCAGCAUCGGCUAACUCCGUGCCAGCAGCCGCGGUAAUACGGAGGAUGCAAGCGUUAUCCGGAAUGAUUGGGCGUAAAGCGUCCGCAGGUGGCUUAUCAAGUCGAUUGUCAAAGGUCCUGGCUCAACUGGGAACAGGCAGUGGAAACUGAAAAGCUAGAGUGCGGUAGGGGUAGAGGGAAUUCCCGGUGUAGCGGUGAAAUGCGUAGAGAUCGGGAAGAACACCAGUGGCGAAAGCGCUCUACUAGGCCUGCACUGACACUCAUGGACGAAAGCUAGGGGAGCGAAUGGGAUUAGAUACCCCAG